This 480-nucleotide ribosomal RNA is filed under the name uncultured bacterium. RNAcentral's name for it is "bacterial SSU rRNA". It matches the Rfam family "Bacterial small subunit ribosomal RNA", at positions 21 to 518 of the family's 1533-position model. The record is from RNAcentral.
UCGUCAGGACGAACGCUGGCGGCGUGCCUAACACAUGCAAGUCGAGCGAGGAGAUCCUUCGGGAUGAUCCUAGCGGCGGACGGGUGAGUAACACGUGGGCAACCUGCCUCAUAGAGAGGAAUAGCCUUCCGAAAGGGAGAUUAAUACCUCAUAACAUUGCAGUUUCGCAUGGAACAGCAAUUAAAGGAGUAAUCCGCUAUGAGAUGGGCCCGCGGCGCAUUAGCUAGUUGGUGAGGUAACGGCUCACCAAGGCGACGAUGCGUAGCCGACCUGAGAGGGUGAUCGGCCACAUUGGGACUGAGACACGGCCCAGACUCCUACGGGAGGCAGCAGUGGGGAAUAUUGCACAAUGGGGGAAACCCUGAUGCAAGCAACGCCGCGUGAGUGAUGACGGCCUUCGGGUUGUAAAGCUCUGUCUUCAGGGACGAUAAUGACGGUACCUGAGGAGGAAGCCACGGCUAACUACGUGCCAGCCGCAGC